GACGAACGCUGGCGGCGUGCUUAACACAUGCAAGUCGAACGGAAAGGCCUCUUUCGGGGGGUACUCGAGUGGCGAACGGGUGAGUAACACGUGAGUAACCUGCCCUUGACUUUGGGAUAACUUCAGGAAACUGGGGCUAAUACCGGAUAGGAGCUCCUGCUGCAUGGUGGGGGUUGGAAAGUUUCGGCGGUUGGGGAUGGACUCGCGGCUUAUCAGCUUGUUGGUGGGGUAGUGGCUUACCAAGGCUUUGACGGGUAGCCGGCCUGAGGGGGUGACCGGCGGCAUAGGGACUGAGGGACGGCCGAGGCACGUACGGGAGGCAACAGUGGGGAAGAUUGAAGGAGGAGUGGAGGCCUGAUGCUGCAGCGCCGUGGGCGGGAUGACGGCGUUCGGGUGGUAGAACGCAUUCGCACAUGACGGAGCUUUGUGUGACGGUAGUUGAUAAGAAAGCACCGGCUAACUACGUG
This 467-nucleotide ribosomal RNA is filed under the name uncultured bacterium. RNAcentral describes it as "partial 16S ribosomal RNA". It matches the Rfam family "Bacterial small subunit ribosomal RNA", at positions 28 to 507 of the family's 1533-position model. The record is from RNAcentral.